RNAcentral lists this ribosomal RNA (2801 nucleotides) under Triticum aestivum (bread wheat). Its description in RNAcentral is "partial small subunit ribosomal RNA". Lineage: Eukaryota; Viridiplantae; Streptophyta; Magnoliopsida; Poales; Poaceae. The record is from RNAcentral.
UGGGUCAGGUGGGCGAGGUAGGGUGGUCUGGGGGGAGGCGGCGGCGCUGGAUACCGAGGUAGGGGACAGGGACGGCGGCCUUCACUUCCACAGGAGUAGGUGCGCGAGGGCCUGGGGGUAGGGACGACGGCGGCCACUUCCAUAGAAGCAGUAGGAGCGCGAGGGGGAGCGACGACAGUGGCAGCAGGCACGUGUGGCGGCACGCCGGGCACGGGGAGUUGGGGGAAGGUAGGGACGGUGGUGGCCCCAGCGCCGACGGUUAUCGAGGCUGCGGCUGGAGUCAGGUAGGCGGCGGGAUUGGGGGCGGGAGGUGGUGCAGGGGCCGGGGACAAAGCCGGCAGCGGCGAGGAAAAGAGAGGACGUUUCGGGGAAGACGUCUAGGUAGUCAGCGUACGGGCAAAGACGUCUCGCCGUAGCAGAACCGGUAUAGAGAGGUUCGCGACGUCCGGUCUCCUUCAACAGAAACGAACUAAACCCACCUACCCAACAACAGUAGCACUACGUUGUCUCCUUAGUCGUGACCGGUGCUCCUCUAAUCUCCGAACUCUACCUACGAUGCUACCACCACCGUUUCAAUCCUCGAACUCUAAAUGUCCCUGCUCCACAUACUAUCGUGUCUAAUUACAAGUUCAGAAGUAGUCGUCGUGGAACUGUACUUAGGAUUCUAGGUAGCCGUAAUAAAGAACUAAUAAAAGAUCCCUUCUUAGGCUUCUACUUAACAAACAAAUAAAAAAUUGUCUAAAGUACCGAAUCGUAGAAUACACAAGGUAGAUUGAGAUGGACGUUAAAUAUAGAUGAGGUUCAUGUGGUGUAAGUCUUAACUAUAUGUCGGAUGUCAAUCUAGUCAAGUCUAAAACGGUACUGUUAUAAUGGGCAUAAUAAGUACUAAGGAGGCAACACAUAUAGUGACAUCUUUUGAUGGAGAUAAGGUAUUAUACCAACAUAUAUCGUUUUAUCAACAUAUUCAGAAAAUUUAAAUGCAAGAAGACAUGUAACAGGAGAUGAUGGUAAUUAAAAGGGAAAAAGGUUUAACUUUAAACUUUUCUCGUACUCAAAACUAUCCUAAAACAUAUAGGAAGUCAACGAACGACAUUGUACACGGAAGACCAUGUAACUACAACUAUCUUAGUAUGGUAAAAGGAUGUUAAAGAAGUAGUGUUUCUACAAGAUAAACAAAUCAAACGUGGUUGUAGGUCGACUUACAAAUAUCCUCCCAAUAAUCAUUUCGUUUAUACAAGUACUCCUUUACAUGGCCGUUUUUUUAGCUCGGUUUCACAUUAAGUUUCGACUUUAUCUUAAAAAGAGACAACGUUAACCUUCGUACAGUGUACUCAUAACUCGACGGUAAUAGAUGUUUAAGAAAUAAACAACUAUACUUGUAAUCAACGUUGUACUUAUUAGUUACAAUCAGCUGUUACAACGAAGUACACGUACUCGUAUACCACAUAGAGACUGUGGUAAGUAAAACUUGGUGAUUUUAUUAUCUUCACCAAACUAAGCAUUCAAUAAAAUGUCCAAAGAUAUGUUGUGAAUAAACAAAACAUAAGCGACGUUGUAUACCUGAACUAAUUUUUUUUUUCCCGUUGGACCACGUACAUCGAGGGCGAACGCGUUCCAGGUCCCUUCCCAGGCUGGUGAAACCCGAACUAACGAAAAGCUUUUACAGCUUGGUGAUCUUGGUGAUUUUAUACAUGCGGGACAACGUUUUGUGCCGGGAACACGAUCAUGUUUGUAUUGAUUGAUGUAGGACAAGUAGGGGUAGGACCGACCUUCAUCAUCUCUCUACUCUCAACUUAGAAUGUCAUACUACGUAUGAAAUACUAAAAUAAAUACCACUCGGCUCAAUAGAUAUAACUUGUAUAAAAAGAAAAAACGCCCUACCAACAAUGUACAAACGCGUAAAAAAGUCUCGUUAAACGUCACCUUCUUCGUUGGAGUAUAACUAUUCUUCAGUUACCAAUAAGAUACUUCAUCGCCAAUAACAACAUCGAGUUCCUACUGUUCCGUUGAUUACACGGGUCCUCCACGUCUAUAAUGCUGUAUUGUCUAUGUAAUUCUAAUAACAAAGAGAGAGUAUUUAUAUGUAUCUAGUAAAACUCGGAGCUGAUCUCACGGUCUAAAGACGGGCUUGAAUAUUGUAAUGAUCUAUUUGCAAGACAUAGAACUACUAUUUUGACUUGAGGUGUACUACGUCAAAUAUUAAUUUUAUACUUUUUUGUGUGUUGUACUAGACUUCGCGUGUAUGUAACGAAUCCUCAAUUGUACGUGAAACCACAAUAGUGGAACUACCAGUGUUAGACUUCUAGUGUACCGUAUUUGACUUGAACUGUAUGAUGUUAAAAAAACAGAUUUCAACAUGUAAAAUAAAGAUGAAGUAGUCUAUUGUAUCUUUGUGUUAAUAAAAGUUUGAACACUAAGAGAACCGACGGUUAGAGGGAUACUCGAAGUUUCUUGAACACGACUGAUGUGAAAGAUGGUUUAAGAACACCUGAUAAAAGUCCAUUAGUCGGUGGAUCAUGUGUACCUACACUACUGAAACCUCACAAUAUCUCGUAAACCGACAUGGUCGGUUGAGUUAACAUUAGUACUUCGAAUACACACAAGACCUGGUAAACCACGAAUUCACAAUACCUAAUGUUUAGAACACGAGUACCUACAUUGAGUUCACAAAACCUGGUAAAUCGUUUAUCCCCAUGAAAAUACACUGAACACAAAGGACCUCCUAACAUUCUACCUGUUUGAAACGAUACAGUUCUAACUGAACACAAACUCGGACACUAGUUAUAUAUACAUAAAAACCA